RNAcentral lists this ribosomal RNA (450 nucleotides) under uncultured bacterium. RNAcentral's name for it is "bacterial SSU rRNA". It matches the Rfam family "Bacterial small subunit ribosomal RNA", at positions 354 to 796 of the family's 1533-position model. The record is from RNAcentral.
GUGGGGAAUUUUGGACAAUGGGCGCAAGCCUGAUCCAGCAAUGCCGCGUGCAGGAAGAAGGCCUUCGGGUUGUAAACUGCUUUUGUACGGAACGAAACGGUCCGGGUUAAUACCCUGGGCUAAUGACGGUACCGUAAGAAUAAGCACCGGCUAACUACGUGCCAGCAGCCGCGGUAAUACGUAGGGUGCAAGCGUUAAUCGGAAUUACUGGGCGUAAAGCGUGCGCAGGCGGUUUUGUAAGACAGGCGUGAAAUCCCCGGGCUCAACCUGGGAAUUGCGAUUGUGACUGCAAGGCUGGAGUGCGGCAGAGGGGGAUGGAAUUCCGCGUGUAGCAGUGAAAUGCGUAGAUAUGCGGAGGAACACCGAUGGCGAAGGCAAUCCCCUGGGCCUGCACUGACGCUCAUGCACGAAAGCGUGGGGAGCAAACAGGAUUAGAUACCCGAGUAGUCC